AGCAGCCGCGGUAAUUCCAGCUCCAAUAGCGUAUAUUAAAGUUGUUGCAGUUAAAAAGCUCGUAGUUGAAUUUUAGGCCUGGCCGGACGGUCCGUCUCUGGCGAGUACUGUUCUGUCGUCGGGUCUAUCCUUCUGGUGAAUCGGUAUGUCCUUAAUUGGGCGUGCCGGGGAGCCAGGACCAUUACCUUGAAAAAAUUAGAGUGUUUAAAGCAGGCU
This 216-nucleotide ribosomal RNA is filed under the name uncultured Archaeospora. RNAcentral describes it as "partial small subunit ribosomal RNA". It matches the Rfam family "Eukaryotic small subunit ribosomal RNA", at positions 569 to 786 of the family's 1831-position model. Lineage: Eukaryota; Fungi; Glomeromycota; Glomeromycetes; Archaeosporales; Archaeosporaceae. The record is from RNAcentral.